This 134-nucleotide non-coding RNA is filed under the name Crystallibacter crystallopoietes. RNAcentral's name for it is "Arthrobacter crystallopoietes TPP sequence". It matches the Rfam family "TPP riboswitch aptamer (THI element)". From Rfam's summary of the family: Vitamin B(1) in its active form thiamin pyrophosphate (TPP) is an essential coenzyme that is synthesised by coupling of pyrimidine and thiazole moieties in bacteria. The record is from Rfam by way of RNAcentral. Lineage: Bacteria; Bacillati; Actinomycetota; Actinomycetes; Micrococcales; Micrococcaceae.
AGAAAACACUGCGGGAGCCUGAUACGCGGCACGUGCGGCAAUUGCCGGCGGCCGACAGGCUGAGAGGGUGCCUGGCACCGACCGUCGAACCUGAUCCGGGUCAUGCCGGCGUAGGGAAGGAAGCUCAAAGUUGU